CCUACGGGAGGCAGCAGUGAGGAAUAUUGGUCAAUGGUCGGGAGACUGAACCAGCCAAGCCGCGUGAGGGAGGAAGGUACAGAGUAUCGUAAACCUCUUUUUUAAGGGCACAAAGGCGGGGACGUGUCCCCGGAUGAGUGUACCUUAACAAAAAGCAUCGGCUCACUCCGUUCCAGCAGCCGCGGUAAUACGGAGGAUUCAAGCGUUAUCCGGAUUUAUUGGGUGUAAAGGGGGCGUAGGCGGUCGGAUAAGUUAGAGGUGAAAUCCCGAGGCUCAACUUCGGAAUUGCCUCUGAUACUGUUCGGCUAGAGUGUAGUAGCGGUAGGCGGAAUGUAUGGUGUAGCGGUGAAAUGCUUAGAGAUCAGACAGAACACCGAUGGCGAAGGCAGCUUACCAAGCUACUUCUGACGUUGAGGCACGAAAGCGUGGGGAGCAAACAGGAUUAGAUACCCCAGUAGUC
Molecule: ribosomal RNA, 460 nt
Filed under: uncultured bacterium
Lineage: Bacteria
Description: partial 16S ribosomal RNA
Rfam family: Bacterial small subunit ribosomal RNA
Source: RNAcentral